AUUGAACGCUGGCGGCAUGCCUUACACAUGCAAGUCGAACGGCAGCACGGGUGCUUGCACCUGGUGGCGAGUGGCGAACGGGUGAGUAAUAUAUCGGAACGUACCUUAUUGUGGGGGAUAACGCAGCGAAAGCUGUGCUAAUACCGCAUAAUCCCUAAGGGGGAAAGCGGGGGACCGUAAGGCCUCGCGCAAUUAGAGCGGCCGAUACCUGAUUAGCUAGUUGGUGAGGUAAAGGCUCACCAAGGCAACGAUCAGUAGCUGGUCCGAGAGGACGAUCAGCCACACGGGGACUGAAACACGGCCCAGACUCCUACGGGAGGCAGCAGUGGGGAAUUUUGGACAAUGGGGGCAACCCUGAUCCAGCAAUGCCGGGUGAGUGAAGAAGGCCUUCGGGUUGUAAAGCUCUUUUGUCAGGGAAGAAACAGCAGCUCUAACACAGUAUGCGAAUGACGGUACCUGAAGAAUAAGCACCGGCUAACUACGUGCCAGCAGCCGCCGUAA
RNAcentral lists this ribosomal RNA (501 nucleotides) under uncultured bacterium. RNAcentral's name for it is "partial 16S ribosomal RNA". It matches the Rfam family "Bacterial small subunit ribosomal RNA", at positions 30 to 523 of the family's 1533-position model. The record is from RNAcentral.